Molecule: non-coding RNA, 433 nt
Organism: Plectropomus leopardus (leopard coralgrouper)
Lineage: Eukaryota; Metazoa; Chordata; Actinopteri; Perciformes; Serranidae
Source: RefSeq, a predicted model, not a curated record
CUGUGCCACUUUUUGACCAAGCAUGGCUCACUGUGAGGGCAGGAGGAAGAGCCAGGCACAUUUAAAGUCUACUAACCAAAGGCGAUUAACAGCAGCUCCCCACAAGAGAUCAGAGGACAGGAGGAGGAGAUUACUUCAUGUCAUCGAGGAGUUAACAUGGGGUCGAAGAGCAAACCCGGAACAUGGCUGAAAAAUGUGGAAAACAGACUGGACAAACCACCAUGAAAGAGGCUGCUGCACAUGCUGAAAGAAUCAGGGAGGGGCUGUCUGUAUCAUUGGAGCAACUCCGUCAUGCUGCCAGGCAGCAGCCACACAAAGCCCCAUUCAUUCACUAUCACCACAUCAAACUCAGCAUCAGAAGAUAAUUCUCUUGAGUUGGUUUCUCGAAGCAGCAAUGAGCCUCAAAGCUGUUACUGCAGCUGCUUGUCCCGCA